Molecule: non-coding RNA, 2465 nt
Organism: Electrophorus electricus (electric eel)
Lineage: Eukaryota; Metazoa; Chordata; Actinopteri; Gymnotiformes; Gymnotidae
Source: RefSeq, a predicted model, not a curated record
UUUUUGAAAAAAAAUGGCGGACAUCGUACCUUACGUUCAGCGACGACUGUUGCAGGCGAACGGAUUAUAUACGGGGAGAUCAUCUAUGUGGUGAAGCAUGUGACAGGAGCCAGUGCAGCUCAGGACUGUUGGACUGUUAGGGGAAGAACUCAGCUCUACCCUGUACCGUGCACCUCGGCUUGCUCGCUUGACACCGUUUUCUUUUGUAAUACUUUUUUUUUGCUUAGUUUACAGAAAUGGGGCCAUGUGUUUGAACAUGCAACUGUGGGCCAAGUUUCAAUUUUGCUGAAAAAGUUCUUAUAGUUCAGAUAAUUUUAGGAACUGAGAAAUGCAUCUGCUUUUGGCAAACAGAUGUGUAACUGUAGCUCUCCCACAUGAAGGACAAGUUGCUGAGGGUUUUGUUCCUCAGGUCUUCAGUGUUUUUGCUGAACGUUGCUGUCUCGGGUUUUAUAGUUGUGCUUCUACAGCUGAAUGGGGUGUCCAUGCUAAAGCAACAGGGUAGAGUCCAGCACAGAAUUAACAACCUUAUGUUUGAUAAAAUCUGUUCUUAAGAGUAAACCCAUACAAAGCUGGGUUACGUAUCAGGUUUGUCAGCAGAUGUCAGAAAAUAUCCUGCAUGGAUUUGGGGCAGAAACAGAUUAUGAUUGAUUGAGUUAGUGGGUCAUUCACUGAAAGGCAUUUUGUUGCCUUGUUUCUGACCUGUUUACUUUUAAGAAAUAUGAUUCUAAUAGACCUAAAUACCAUUAAUAAUGUCCUUAAGACUCUUAAAGAUCAAUAUAUUACUGUGGUCAUCAUUAAUAAUGUUCUUAAGACUCUUAAAAUCAGUAUAUUGCUGUGGUCAUCAUUAAUAAUGUUCUUAAGACUCUUAAAGAUCAGUACCUUGCUGUGGUCAUCAUUAAUAAUGUUCUUAAUACUCUUAAAGAUCAGUAUAUUAUUGUGGUUAACAUUUUGCUUCUCACUACUGCUGUGAGUAGUCAGCAACGUCACUGAAUUCUUCUUUUGCAUGUUCAUGCCCACCACUGCACUCCAACCAUGCCUGACACAUCGCACAGUGUUCUACGACUUAGAAUAUGUGUUUGCAGUGAAACCGUGUCUGUUCUGUGUGCACUUUCACCUAGAUUUCAUUUAAACUCCUGCCUGAAAUUUUGCAUUGUAUAUGUCUUCUUUAAUUGUUGUGACCUUCAUUCAUUUAACUUUUUACAUGAGGAACAAAAAAGCAUCUGUCUUAAAAGUAAUCAGGUCAGGAAAAGUAAACGUCAUGUUAUUUAUUCCAUCUGGUAACAUCUGAGCUUCAAUAAGCUGAAAGUCUUUGUAGGAAUGAGGUUACCACAUAUUUGCGCAUGUGUGAGAGUGCAUGUGCAUGAGUGAAUAGAGUGAGAGAGAAAGUUCCUCUGUUUGCAUGCAAGUCUGAUCUGCCAUUAUCUAGAAUGAAUACUGGACUAAAUGCAGGAAGUUCCAUUUUAACCACUCCCCUAUCAUUCUGCCUUUCUUUACAAAUACACAGACAUUUUUCUCUGGGUUUAAAGCACUUUUUAAUCUGGUCCUGGUCUCUCAUUGUUUAAUCUGCUCAAAUAACAUAGAAACCCACAUGGUAGAAUCUAGAUGACUGAAAGCUCAUAGCAUAUUUUCCCCCCAUAGAAAAAUCAAACCAAUUCUGUGAUAAUAUAGUAUUUACAGGAAUAUGCAUACAGUUUUCAUACAAAUUCUGUUUUACCUGAUUUGUUUUACAGGCACAGAAGACAGGGACUGCACAGACCUUUCAUAAGAACUAGUGCAUUUAUAUCCUUCCAACCAGCAAAGAACCUGAUACUUGUGGUAGGUGCGGGUGUGGCCAGCUGCGGAACCAAAGUGUGACUGUUCCGCCACUCUCCACCAGAGGGAGCACAGAGGAGACUCAGCACGACUCACAAUAGGAGAGAUGGGCUGUGGCUAUGAGGAGUGGCUCUUCAUGCUGGAGGUGCACUUCAAGACCAUUCCUUCAGGUCACCUGGCAGAGUGGAUGCUAUUGGAAUCUCACCCUGGGGAAUCAUGGAGAAUAAAGAUGAGAUCAUGAGGAAGAAGAUGUGGAUGUCCACAUGUGCGAUCCCAAGAUCAGCUGCUUCCAGUACACGCUCCACCAGCUGAUGGUGUAGGCAGUGUUGAAGAGGCACCAGAAGAGGGCGCUCCCCCUGUGGCAACAGGAUGAGGAGAUCAUGACCAAGGCUAUGACCCAGUCUCCCAGAGUGGACAAUAUUUUACAGGAUCUGGAUAAGAUGUCCAAGGAGUUUGGACAGUUAGCAUAUGAUCUAAAGCACAAUAAGCAGCUGGUCAUGAAUGAAGCUGGAGAACUGGAGUGAGCUGGAGUGACUACACCUGUCGCCCACACCUGCAGUCAAAUGCUCCUCAGGGACAUGAGUACAGGCAAGAGCAGUGGCUUCAAAGCACAUCACACACACCCUGUAACACACACAUACAAACAUAUAUGA